UCUUGUCAUCGCCUCUCUCUCUCUCUCUCUCUCUCUCCCCUUCCUCCUCCCCGUCCUCCCCUUUUUCUCUGGUUUUGUGAUUUUUUCAGAUCUACUCUUCUAUUUUGUUGCUGUGUCGAAUCCGUAUUCGGAUUCUGUUAGAUCGGUCGACGAUCUACGCAGCGAUGGUGGUUUCGAUGGUUCGAAGCAGAUCUCUUUCGGUGAUUCUGUUUUCUGCGAUCUUCGCGAAUUGCCGAUCGAUAUGGUGUGAUCUGACACGAGGAUUGGUUUUGAUUCAAGAAUUCGGCUCUUGAUUUACGAUGGCGGUUGAGAUUGAAGAAUUGUGGUAUACUUCUUUGCAGAUCUGCCAUGGACUUGCUGACGAUAGAUACGAUCCACGACAAGGACCUCGAGGUAUUAUGUAUUUAUGUGUAAAAAGUUUCUUAUCUUUUUGUUGCUAGAUGGUUUGGAUCUGUUGUUGUUCGGCUCCGUCGUUGUAGAUCUGGGUUCUUGUUGCUACAGGCAUGGCGAUUUGGGGAUCUUCCUUGUAUUUUCACAUCGAUCCAAGGUGAUGCUGUUUCAAGAUCUAUGUCGAUACAAGUCGAUGCCAAGUAAUGGCUUUUUCGACGCUGGCUGGAUUGUUGAAUUGAAGGAAUCAGUUUGAGGAUGUAACUGGAUAUCAAAGGAGGUAGUUUGUUGUUUACUCUGAAGAUUCAUGGAGCGAUUUCUGAGGGAUUUCUUGUGAACGGUGUAAAAGACCUCGGGACAGAAAAAACCUAAUUUUAUUAGGUUCUAAUGUCUCGAUUGUUCUUUGUCAUCCGGCCUUUGCCAUGACAGGUGCGCUUGCAUGGCAGGUCACAAACUUUAAUAAAAAAUUAUUUUUUUUGUUUUUGGGGGAGAUCGCACGGGGUUUUUGCCCGGGAUCUCUCCCCUGGUGUGGUGUUGUGUGUCGUGCGUGUUCAAUUUUUUUGCUUAUUUUUAUCUUUCCCGACUGAAUUCUGCACCGUCAACAUAACUAUGACGGACAUCAUCAGCAAAUAGUCAAAUAUGAGAGCAAGGUGUUCUACACAACUGAUAAGCAGGCAAAAAGUGAUCGAUGCAAUGGGAGCUUUGCUACCAUCACCUUUUUUGGGUUAUUCAAAGCUUCGGUUGAUCUGGUUGACGUCAGCAAAUCAGAUGUUUAUAAUGAAAAGCUAGAAAGGGUUCACAAGCUGCUGCUGCUGCUGCAAGUGAAAUGAAGCUGUGAUCUGGUUCUUGUUUGCAAAUCAGAUGAUUUGUACCAUCAUUGGAGCUGGAGCGUGGGUUCAAAGCUGCUGGAAGUGUGGAACGGGUGGAAUGAAGAGAUGCUGUGGGGGGCUUUAAGAGAUUCAACGGUCUUCUAAUGGUACAUUCCGAAUAUAUCUUCUGUUGAUCCGUGCGUGCUUGUUAUCAUCAAUGUGGUCAUGGAAAUGUGCUGUGUUAAUGCCACACCAUUCUCUACCUUUGUGGGGGCCCUAUGUGUGACUUGGUUCUACGCACUGGUGCACUGGAUAUUGUUUUUGUCCUGUCUUGUUAUGUCAUGGGAGCAACUGUUCUGGAUCAUGUCUUCGGAGCUUAAAUCUUUUUAUCACAAUGUUGCUUUGCUGCUCAGUUCAUUACUAGCUUCAUCAUUUGCGUAAUUGUUUCACUGCAAGCUUCCUCGUUUGCCUGCCUGAGGUGACGAGAAAAUCUGGGAUUCUUAUCAUCAGACUUAAUUUGCCUUGUUAAUCAGAUAAGUGGUACUGUAUUUUUAGCAUACGGGCUGAUUCAAUUAUUGGCCAUCAGCAUUUUUAGCAAUUAUUAUAGUGGUAAUCAUUCUUUUAACUUCUUGGUUUUGUAAUUUAUUCUGUUUUAACUCUCGCCGUGGCAUUUGUGGUAGGGAACGUAUAAACAUUUUAAUUGAUUUGCUUGAUAUA
Molecule: non-coding RNA, 1913 nt
Organism: Camellia sinensis
Lineage: Eukaryota; Viridiplantae; Streptophyta; Magnoliopsida; Ericales; Theaceae
Source: RefSeq, a predicted model, not a curated record